Molecule: non-coding RNA, 31 nt
Filed under: Mus musculus (house mouse)
Lineage: Eukaryota; Metazoa; Chordata; Mammalia; Rodentia; Muridae
Source: RNAcentral
UGAUUUUUACAGGAGUACUUUCCUGCUAAGG